GUGUCAGCCGCCGCGGUAAUACAGAGAGUGCAAACGUUGUUCGGAAUUACUGGGCUUGAAGCGCACGUAGGCGGCGUUGUAAGUGUCGGGUGAAAUCCCACGGCUCACCCGUGGAACUGCCCGGCAUACUGCGAUGCUAGAGUGUGGUAGGGGAGAGCGUAACUCCUGGUGGAGCGGUGAAAUGCUUAGAUAUCAGGAGGAACACCGGUGGCGAAGGCGGCUCUCUGGUCCACAACUGACGCUGAGGUGCGAAAGCUAGGGGAGCAAACGGGAUUAGAUACCCGCGUAGUCC
RNAcentral lists this ribosomal RNA (292 nucleotides) under uncultured bacterium. Its description in RNAcentral is "partial 16S ribosomal RNA". It matches the Rfam family "Bacterial small subunit ribosomal RNA", at positions 505 to 796 of the family's 1533-position model. The record is from RNAcentral.